Molecule: non-coding RNA, 98 nt
Filed under: marine eukaryotic metagenome
Description: SAM riboswitch (S box leader)
Rfam family: SAM riboswitch aptamer (S box leader)
About the family: The SAM riboswitch is found upstream of a number of genes which code for proteins involved in methionine or cysteine biosynthesis in Gram-positive bacteria. The SAM riboswitch acts at the level of transcription termination control. The predicted structure consists of a complex stem-loop region followed by a single stem loop terminator region.
Source: RNAcentral
AUUAUCAAGAAAGGUGGAGGGGUAAGGCCCAUUGAAACCUUGGCAACCCCUGUAAAGAAAGGUGCCAAUUCCUACUUCAGAUAGUUGAAGAAAGAUAA